RNAcentral lists this ribosomal RNA (333 nucleotides) under uncultured bacterium. RNAcentral's name for it is "bacterial SSU rRNA". It matches the Rfam family "Bacterial small subunit ribosomal RNA", at positions 30 to 346 of the family's 1533-position model. The record is from RNAcentral.
AGUGAACGCCGGCGGCAGGCCUAACACAUGCAAGUCGAGCGGCAGCGGGUCCCCGCGAGGGGAUGCCGGCGAGCGGCGGACGGGUGAGGAACACAUCGGAAUCUGCCUGGUUGUGGGGGAUAACGUAGGGAAACUUACGCUAAUACCGCAUGAGACCCUGAGUCGACGGACUGGGGGUGAAAGUGAGGGACCUUCGGGCCUCACGCGACCAGAUGAGCCGAUGUCGGAUUAGCAGUUGGCGGGGUAACGGCCCGCCAAGGCGACGAUCCGUAGCUGGUCUGAGAGGAUGAUCAGCCACACUGGGACUGAGACACGGCCCAGACUCCUACGGGA